CCUACGGGAGGCUGCAGUGGGGAAUAUUGGACAAUGGGCGAAAGCCUGAUCCAGCCAUGCCGCGUGUGUGAAGAAGGCCUUCGGGUUGUAAAGCACUUUCAGUGGGGAAGAAAGCCUUGGGGCUAAUACCCUCGAGGAAGGACAUCACCCACAGAAGAAGCACCGGCUAACUCCGUGCCAGCAGCCGCGGUAAUACGGAGGGUGCGAGCGUUAAUCGGAAUUACUGGGCGUAAAGCGCGCGUAGGCGGUCUGAUAAGCCGGUUGUGAAAGCCCCGGGCUCAACCUGGGAACGGCAUCCGGAACUGUCAGGCUAGAGUGCAGGAGAGGAAGGUAGAAUUCCCGGUGUAGCGGUGAAAUGCGUAGAGAUCGGGAGGAAUACCAGUGGCGAAGGCGGCCUUCUGGACUGACACUGACGCUGAGGUACGAAAGCGUGGGUAGCAAACAGGAUUAGAUACCCUUGUAGUC
Molecule: ribosomal RNA, 465 nt
Filed under: Vreelandella stevensii
Lineage: Bacteria; Pseudomonadati; Pseudomonadota; Gammaproteobacteria; Oceanospirillales; Halomonadaceae
Description: partial 16S ribosomal RNA
Rfam family: Bacterial small subunit ribosomal RNA
Source: RNAcentral